This 293-nucleotide ribosomal RNA is filed under the name uncultured microorganism. RNAcentral's name for it is "partial 16S ribosomal RNA". It matches the Rfam family "Bacterial small subunit ribosomal RNA", at positions 505 to 796 of the family's 1533-position model. The record is from RNAcentral.
GUGCCAGCAGCCGCGGUAAUACGUAGGGCGCGAGCGUUGUCCGGGAAUUAUUGGGCGUAAAGAGCUCGUAGGCGGCUUGUCACGUCGGAUGUGAAAGCCCGGGGCUUAACCCCGGGUCUGCAUUCGAUACGGGCAGGCUAGAGUUCGGUAGGGGAGAUCGGAAUUCCUGGUGUAGCGGUGAAAUGCGCAGAUAUCAGGAGGAACACCGGUGGCGAAGGCGGAUCUCUGGGCCGAUACUGACGCUGAGGAGCGAAAGCGUGGGGAGCGAACAGGAUUAGAUACCCUGGUAGUCC